This 292-nucleotide ribosomal RNA is filed under the name uncultured Alphaproteobacteria bacterium. RNAcentral describes it as "partial 16S ribosomal RNA". Lineage: Bacteria; Pseudomonadati; Pseudomonadota; Alphaproteobacteria. The record is from RNAcentral.
GGACUACACGGGUAUCUAAUCCUGUUUGCUCCCCACGCUUUCGCGCCUCAGCGUCAGUCUCGGUCCAGAGAGCCGCCUUCGCCACCGGUGUUCUUCCCAAUAUCUACGAAUUUCACCUCUACACUGGGAAUUCCACUCUCCUCUCCCGAACUCCAGCCCUUCAGUCCCAAGCGCAAUUCCCAGGUUGAGCCCGGGGCUUUCACGCCUGACUUGAACGGCCGCCUACGCGCCCUUUACGCCCAGUAAUUCCGAACAACGCUAGCCCCCUUCGUAUUACCGCGGCUGCUGGCAC